This 1343-nucleotide ribosomal RNA is filed under the name uncultured bacterium. RNAcentral describes it as "16S ribosomal RNA". It matches the Rfam family "Bacterial small subunit ribosomal RNA", at positions 28 to 1378 of the family's 1533-position model. The record is from RNAcentral.
GACGAACGCUGUCGGCGUGCUUAACACAUGCAAGUCGAACGGAAAGGCCCUGCUUUUGUGGGGUGCUCGAGUGGCGAACGGGUGAGUAACACGUGAGUAACCUGCCCUUGACUUUGGGAUAACUUCAGGAAACUGGGGCUAAUACCGGAUAGGAGCUCCUGCUGCAUGGUGGGGUUUGGAAAGUUUCGGCGGUUGGGGAUGGACUCGCGGCUUAUCAGCUUGUUGGUGGGGUAGUGGCUUACCAAGGCUUUGACGGGUAGCCGGCCUGAGAGGGUGACCGGCCACAUUGGGACUGAGAUACGGCCCAGACUCCUACGGGAGGCAGCAGUGGGGAAUAUUGCACAAUGGGCGGAAGCCUGAUGCAGCAACGCCGCGUGCGGGAUGACGGCCUUCGGGUUGUAAACCGCUUUCGCCUGUGACGAAGCGUGAGUGACGGUAAUGGGUAAAGAAGCACCGGCUAACUACGUGCCAGCAGCCGCGGUGAUACGUAGGGUGCGAGCGUUGUCCGGAUUUAUUGGGCGUAAAGGGCUCGUAGGUGGUUGAUCGCGUCGGAAGUGUAAUCUUGGGGCUUAACCCUGAGCGUGCUUUCGAUACGGGUUGACUUGAGGAAGGUAGGGGAGAAUGGAAUUCCUGGUGGAGCGGUGGAAUGCGCAGAUAUCAGGAGGAACACCAGUGGCGAAGGCGGUUCUCUGGGCCUUUCCUGACGCUGAGGAGCGAAAGCGUGGGGAGCGAACAGGCUUAGAUACCCUGGUAGUCCACGCUGUAAACGGUGGGUACUAGGUGUGGGGUCCAUUCCACGGGUUCCGUGCCGUAGCUAACGCUUUAAGUACCCCGCCUGGGGAGUACGGCCGCAAGGCUAAAACUCAAAGGAAUUGACGGGGCCCCGCACAAGCGGCGGAGCAUGCGGAUUAAUUCGAUGCAACGCGUAGAACCUUACCUGGGUUUGACAUGGAUCGGGAGUGCUCAGAGAUGGGUGUGCCUCUUUUGGGGUCGGUUCACAGGUGGUGCAUGGCUGUCGUCAGCUCGUGUCGUGAGAUGUUGGGUUAAGUCCCGCAACGAGCGCAACCCUUGUUCACUGUUGCCAGCACGUUAUGGUGGGGACUCAGUGGAGACCGCCGGGGUCAACUCGGAGGAAGGUGGGGAUGACGUCAAGUCAUCAUGCCCCUUAUGUCCAGGGCUUCACGCAUGCUACAAUGGCUGGUACAGAGAGUGGCGAGCCUGUGAGGGUGAGCGAAUCUCGGAAAGCCGGUCUCAGUUCGGAUUGGGGUCUGCAACUCGACCUCAUGAAGUCGGAGUCGCUAGUAAUCGCAGAUCAGCAACGCUGCGGUGAAUACGUUCCCGGG